GUAGGUGGCAAGCGUUGUCCGGAAUUAUUGGGCGUAAAGCGCGCGCAGGCGGUUCUUUAAGUCUGAUGUGAAAGCCCACGGCUCAACCGUGGAGGGUCAUUGGAAACUGGAGAACUUGAGUACAGAAGAGGAAAGCGGAAUUCCACGUGUAGCGGUGAAAUGCGUAGAGAUGUGGAGGAACACCAGUGGCGAAGGCGGCUUUCUGGUCUGUAACUGACGCUGAGGCGCGAAAGCGUGGGGAGCAAACAGGGAUUAGAUACCCUGGUAGUCCACGCCGUAAACGAUGAGUGCUAAGUGUUAGGGGGUUUCCCGCCCCUUAGUGCUGCAGCUAACGCAUUAAGCACUCCGCCCUGGGGAGUACCGGCCGCAAGGCUG
Molecule: ribosomal RNA, 375 nt
Filed under: uncultured organism
Description: partial 16S ribosomal RNA
Rfam family: Bacterial small subunit ribosomal RNA
Source: RNAcentral